GCCUGGGUAGCUCAGCUGGUUACAGUGUGGUGCUGAUAAUGCCGAGGUUGCAGGUUCGAUGCCCGUACAGGACA
Non-coding RNA from Podarcis lilfordi (Lilford's wall lizard), 74 nucleotides. Lineage: Eukaryota; Metazoa; Chordata; Lepidosauria; Squamata; Lacertidae. The record is from the annotation of a GenBank genome assembly.